CAAAGUCGUAACUCCCAAAACCU
Molecule: non-coding RNA, 23 nt
Filed under: Arabidopsis thaliana (thale cress)
Lineage: Eukaryota; Viridiplantae; Streptophyta; Magnoliopsida; Brassicales; Brassicaceae
Source: RNAcentral